This 474-nucleotide ribosomal RNA is filed under the name uncultured bacterium. RNAcentral describes it as "bacterial SSU rRNA". It matches the Rfam family "Bacterial small subunit ribosomal RNA", at positions 11 to 528 of the family's 1533-position model. The record is from RNAcentral.
GUUUGAUCAUGGCUCAGAACGAACGCUGGCGGCAUGCCUAACACAUGCAAGUCGAACGCCUCUAGCAAUAGAGGAGUGGCGCACGGGUGAGUAACGCGUGGGAACCUGCCCUGGAGUGUGGGAUAACCCGGCGAAAGCCGGGCUAAUACCGCAUACGACCUGAGGGUGAAAGAUUUAUCGCUCUAGGAGGGGCCCGCGUCGGAUUAGCUAGUUGGUGAGGUAACGGCUCACCAAGGCGAUGAUCCGUAGCUGGUCUGAGAGGAUGAUCAGCCACACUGGGACUGAGACACGGCCCAGACUCCUACGGGAGGCAGCAGUGGGGAAUAUUGGACAAUGGGGGCAACCCUGAUCCAGCAAUGCCGCGUGGGCGAUGAAGGCCUUCGGGUUGUAAAGCCCUUUUGCACGCGACGAUGAUGACGGUAGCGUGAGAAGAAGCCCCGGCUAACUCCGUGCCAGCAGCCGCGGUAAUAGCUG